AUGACAAUACCUAACACCAACAGCAUGUUGAGUUUUUCCUGUAUGGUGUCUGCAGCUGUUGUCAUCCUAGGCAGAACCUGCAGUUGCUUGCACUUCACUUUCCCCAGUUUCAACCCAGGCAACAGGGAUGAUUUCAGCUUCAGCCCAGGCUCAGCAAUCUCAAACAAUUCCCUGCAAAUCACGCCGAACGCCGGGAACAUGAGCCACCGGUCGGGAAGAGUGGUCUACGCAAGGGAAACCCUCAAGCUGUGGAAUAGCAAGCGUACAGCGCUCACGUCGUUCAGGACAGAGUUCGUGCUCAACAUCCUCCCGCAGAACGGGACUGCCGGAGAAGGUAUGGCCUUCAUGCUCACAAACAAUCCAUCCUUGCCCAGCGACAGCAGCGGCCAGUGGCUGGGCAUAUGCAACAGCCAGAGAGAUGGCGCCAAGACAAACCGAGUAGUUGCCGUUGAAUUCGACACCAGGCAGAGCUAUGCGGAUGAAUUUGACGGCAACCAUUUUGGCUUCGACUUCAACAGCAUCAAAUCUUUUCGGCAAUACCCGCUCAGUAAUCAGUCCAUCAUCCUCGCAAGUGGAUCUGAUGUAUGGGUCAGUAUGGCAUACAAUGGUACAACACGAUUGUUUGGAGUAGAUCUAGUCCAGCACAGCACAAUAGGAGGGCAGCUUAAAUCCAGCGGAAGUUUGAUUGUUAAUCUAUCACACUAUCUGGCAGACGACAUAUAUCUGGUGUUUGCAGGUUCCACGGGCGAUUUCACCCAACUGAAUCAGAUAAAGUCCUGGAACUUCACCACAAUAGAAAAUGAUGCCACAGUCGGAAUAAGAGUUGGAAUAAAGGUGUUCUUGGCUAUUGCUGCUUUGGUUAUAUUUUCUACCUGUUUGGUUGGUGUGUUCUUCAUGUGGAGAAGGUUGACACGUCAGAGAAGGCUCGCCAACCGCAACCUGGAGAAGAUGAUCGACGCACAUGGUCCGGUCAAAUUUAAGCUCAGGGAGCUGAGGCGUGCGACUGCCAACUUCAGUCCUACACGUAAGCUCGGCAGAGGCGGCUCUGGCACCGUUUACCUCGGCCACAUCAAUAGGAUGAACUUGGAGGUGGCCGUGAAGCGGGUGUCAAUGGGCAACGCCGAUUCCAACCGAGGAGAGCAGGAGUUCGUCGCGGAGGUGAACACGAUCAGCAAGCUGUCCCACCGCAACCUCGUCAAGUUGAUCGGCUGGUGCCACGAGGGAUCCGAGCUGCUCCUGGUGUAA
RNAcentral lists this ribosomal RNA (1245 nucleotides) under Triticum aestivum (bread wheat). Its description in RNAcentral is "partial small subunit ribosomal RNA". Lineage: Eukaryota; Viridiplantae; Streptophyta; Magnoliopsida; Poales; Poaceae. The record is from RNAcentral.